AUGGCUCAGAGCGAACGCUGGCGGCAGGCCUAACACAUGCAAGUCGAACGAACCUUUCGGGGUUAGUGGCGGACGGGUGAGUAACACGUGGGAACGUGCCUUUAGGUUCGGAAUAACUCAGGGAAACUUGUGCUAAUACCGAAUGUGCCCUUCGGGGGAAAGAUUUAUCGCCUUUAGAGCGGCCCGCGUCUGAUUAGCUAGUUGGUUGAGGUAAUGGCUCACCAAGGCGACGAUCAGUAGCUGGUCUGAGAGGAUGAUCAGCCACAUUGGGACUGAGACACGGCCCAAACUCCUACGGGAGGCAGCAGUGGGGAAUCUUGCGCAAUGGGCGAAAGCCUGACGCAGCCAUGCCGCGUGAAUGAUGAAGGUCUUAGGAUUGUAAAAUUCUUUCACCGGGGACGAUAAUGACGGUACCCGGAGAAGAAGCCCCGGCUAACUUCGUGCCAGCAGCCGCGGUAAUACGAAGGGGGCUAGCGUUGCUCGGAAUUACUGGGCGUAAAGGGAGCGUAGGCGGACAUUUAAGUCAGGGGUGAAAUCCCGGGGCUCAACCUCGGAAUUGCCUUUGAUACUGGGUGUCUUGAGUAUGAGAGAGGUGUGUGGAACUCCGAGUGUAGAGGUGAAAUUCGUAGAUAUUCGGAAGAACACCAGUGGCGAAGGCGACACACUGGCUCAUUACUGACGCUGAGGCUCGAAAGCGUGGGGAGCAAACAGGAUUAGAUACCCUGGUAGUCCACGCCGUAAACGAUGAUUGCUAGUUGUCGGGAUGCAUGCAUUUCGGUGACGCAGCUAACGCAU
This 795-nucleotide ribosomal RNA is filed under the name Brevundimonas sp. RNAcentral describes it as "bacterial SSU rRNA". It matches the Rfam family "Bacterial small subunit ribosomal RNA", at positions 19 to 860 of the family's 1533-position model. The record is from RNAcentral. Lineage: Bacteria; Pseudomonadati; Pseudomonadota; Alphaproteobacteria; Caulobacterales; Caulobacteraceae.